CCAAUAGCGUAUAUUAAAGUUGUUGCAGUUAAAAAGCUCGUAGUCGAAUUUCGGGGUCAGUAGGCUGGUCGUGCCUCCGGUACGUACUGGUCUUACUGAUUCCUCCUUCCUGACGAACCGUAAUGCCAUUAAUUUGGUGUUGCGGGGAAUCUGGACUGUUACUUUGAAAAAAUUAGAGUGUUUAAAGCAGGCUAACGCUUGAAUACAUUAGCAUGGAAUAAUGAAAUAGGACGAUCGAUCCUAUUUUGUUGGUUUCUAGGAAUGACGUAAUGAUUAAUAGGGAUAGUUGGGGGCAUUAGUAUUCAAUUGUCAGAGGUGAAAUUCUUGGAUUUAUUGAAGACUAACUACUGCGAAAGCAUUUGCCAAGGAUGUUUUCAUUAAUCAAGAACGAAAGUUAGGGGAUCGAAGACGAUCAGAUACCGUCGUAGUCUUAACCAUAAACUAUGCCGACUAGGGAUCGGAUGAUGUUAAUUUUUUAAUGACUCAUUCGGCGCCUUACG
This 500-nucleotide ribosomal RNA is filed under the name uncultured Glomeromycotina. RNAcentral's name for it is "partial small subunit ribosomal RNA". It matches the Rfam family "Eukaryotic small subunit ribosomal RNA", at positions 591 to 1092 of the family's 1831-position model. Lineage: Eukaryota; Fungi; Glomeromycota. The record is from RNAcentral.